GGAAUAGGUCAAGGCAGUCGUAAAGUAGGAAGGCUGGACUUCCUAGCGUCUCAAUGGCAUUGAGAAGGUCAGGGGUUCGACUCCCCUUAGCUCCA
This 95-nucleotide transfer RNA is filed under the name Leptolyngbya sp. FACHB-17. RNAcentral describes it as "tRNA-Ala". Lineage: Bacteria; Bacillati; Cyanobacteriota; Cyanophyceae; Leptolyngbyales; Leptolyngbyaceae. The record is from RNAcentral. RNAcentral also lists the same sequence under 1 other name.